Molecule: ribosomal RNA, 301 nt
Filed under: uncultured bacterium
Lineage: Bacteria
Description: partial 16S ribosomal RNA
Rfam family: Bacterial small subunit ribosomal RNA
Source: RNAcentral
CAGCCGCCGCGGUAAUACGAAGGGUGCAAGCGUUAAUCGGAAUUACUGGGCGUAAAGCGUGCGUAGGCGGUGAGUUAAGUCUGCUGUGAAAUCCCCGGGCUCAACCUGGGAAUGGCAGUGGAUACUGGCUCGCUAGAGUGUGUCAGAGGAUGGUGGAAUUCCCGGUGUAGCGGUGAAAUGCGUAGAGAUCGGGAGGAACAUCAGUGUCGAAGGCGGCCAUCUGGGACAACACUGACGCUGAGGCACGAAAGCGUGGGGAGCAAACAGGAUUAGAGACCCCGGUAGUCCCUGUCUCUUAUAC